Molecule: ribosomal RNA, 450 nt
Filed under: uncultured bacterium
Lineage: Bacteria
Description: partial 16S ribosomal RNA
Rfam family: Bacterial small subunit ribosomal RNA
Source: RNAcentral
CCUACGGGUGGCUGCAGUAGGGAAUAUUGGACAAUGGGCGCAAGCCUGAUCCAGCCAUGCCGCGUGAGUGAAGAAGGCCCUCGGGUUGUAAAGCUCUUUUGUCCGGAAAGAAAAGCACUCGGUUAAUACCCGGUUGUUCUGACGGUACCGGAAGAAUAAGCACCGGCUAACUUCGUGCCAGCCGCCGCGGUAAUACGACGGGUGCAAGCGUUGCUCGGAGCGUCUGGACGUAAAUCGUGCGGUGGGAGGUGAAAGCCCUGGGCUCAACCUGGGAAUGGCAUUGGAUACUGGCGGGCUAGAGUGCGGUAGAGGGUAGUGGAAUUCCCGGUGUAGCAGUGAAAUGCGUAGAGAUCGGGAGGAACAUCUGUGGCGAAGGCGACUGCCUGGACCAGCACUGACACUGAGGCACGAAAGCGUGGGGAGCAAACAGGAUUAGAUACCCCUGUAGUC